UGGGGAAUAUUGGGCAAUGGGCGAAAGCCUGACCCAGCCAUGCCGCGUGAAUGAUGAAGGCCUUAGGGUUGUAAAGUUCUUUCGUUGGUGAAGAUAAUGACGGUAACCAAAGAAGAAGCCCCGGCUAACUUCGUGCCAGCAGCCGCGGUAAUACGAAGGGGGCUAGCGUUGUUCGGAAUUACUGGGCGUAAAGCGCGUGUAGGUGGAAUGGUAAGCAAGAGGUGAAAUCCCAGAGCUCAACUUUGGAAUUGCCUUUUGAACUAUCAUUCUGGAGUAUUGGAGGGGAGUGCGGAAUUCCUAAUGUAGAGGUGAAAUUCGUAGAUAUUAGGAGGAACACCGGUGGCGAAGGCGGCACUCUGGACAAUAACUGACACUGAGACGCGAAAGCGUGGGGAGCAAA
RNAcentral lists this ribosomal RNA (400 nucleotides) under uncultured bacterium. RNAcentral's name for it is "bacterial SSU rRNA". It matches the Rfam family "Bacterial small subunit ribosomal RNA", at positions 355 to 772 of the family's 1533-position model. The record is from RNAcentral.